Long non-coding RNA from Procambarus clarkii (red swamp crayfish), 1217 nucleotides. RefSeq lists it as uncharacterized. The record is from RefSeq and is a predicted model, not a curated record. NCBI's taxonomy places the organism in Eukaryota, Metazoa, Arthropoda, Malacostraca, Decapoda, Cambaridae.
AAGUAAGGUAAGCCGACUAGAAAAGACAAUGGCUGAAGCCCCCAAGAAGACUCAAACAAACAUAAGUCAGCAUGGGUUUCAGAGAUGGUUCAUCUGGGUAAUGGUUGAUCUAUGGUCCCCAAGUGCUUCCUUCAUGGAGGGAGCAUGGAAGGAGGGAUGUCCAUGGUCCCUCCCACCGAGGUCAUGUUAAUGACCUCUCAGGGGUCUCUGGACUGGUGCUUGCAGGCCUUAAGCCUGACUGGUGACGACUUGACAAUCGGUUUUGGUGUGAUCUUAAUGCUAUCGUCGGCCUGGCGGGCAACCCACCGUACACCUCAAGGCAGGCCAAGCAGUGUGUGAGAACUCGCCACCACCCACAAAUGUUUAUACCCUUUUCAGUUUUCUGAUCUCAAUUAUUGUGCUAAGUCAUUCAAUUUGGUAUCAAAUUGUUCACAAUAAAAUGCUCCAAAGGAAUAUGUGCAUACAAGAAUAUACAAUUCUUACUUUCCCAUACUUUAGACCCACCGCGCACUGCAAGGUAGGCCGAGAGCUAGCCACCACACAAAAAGGUUUAUACUCUUCAGCUCUUUCACCUCAAUUCUCGUGCUAUGUCGUUCAAUUUUGUAUCAAACUGUUCACAAUAGAAUGUUCUAAAUUAAUAUUUGCAUAUAAGAAUAAUGUUACCAAUUUGCAUAUAAGAAUAAAUAGAAUAAUGUUACCAAUACCAUAAGAUGAAGUAAAACCGUCAUGUAAAAAACACCCGUUUUUCUUUGUUUACAGUCAUUAUUUAUUCCAGGUGGAUGCCAUGUGGUAUCUAAAGAGAAUGGGAAGACAUUGGUGUGCAUUUUAAAACAAGUCUAAUAGUAUUCAAACCAUAAAUGGAAAUUUUUACAAAUUUUUAAAUUACUGACGCCGUUUGCGUCAUGCCGCUCACUCCGUAGUUUUGUUUUUGAUAGAAAUACUGGCAUCGGGUACCGAAAGUGUUAAAUUGAAGACCAAGUCUGCAUCUCGAGUACAUUAUUUUUCUCAUCUUAUUCUCCUAAACAAAAACUAAGUAAAUUUGAUUCUUACUGAAAACCAGAUGAUAGGAUAUUUCUUUUUAGACCUCCUAAGCAUUUCACUUAAGAUGAAGUGGUGCUGAUGAAAAGAUACUUUGGCUCUGUAUCAAGGCUUGGAUACAACAAGACUGUCUGGGAAACCAACCAUUCACAACCUUAAGUAAAGCUUUAUGAACCCUU